This 214-nucleotide long non-coding RNA is filed under the name Theobroma cacao (cacao). RNAcentral describes it as "long non-coding RNA (TCAC_LNC001251)". The record is from RNAcentral. Lineage: Eukaryota; Viridiplantae; Streptophyta; Magnoliopsida; Malvales; Malvaceae.
UUAUGUUCAUUCACGGGUUUAUACUCACGUUUUUAAACUUCAUGUUUUAGGUUUUCUGAGUUAAAGGUGAUUGGAUGCUAGGACAAAGUGCUUCUCCUUAUCCAUUGCCCGGUAGUUUUGUCAUGAUACUAAGUGUUAGCACCCACGCCCAGGGUCACUCUGCUGACGGUCAGAGUCUUUGAAUGUGUACUUGUAAACUAGAUGUAACUUGCUA